UCGGUAUUUGGCUGGACCCCAAAAAUCUGGAUUCAGUGCAUCCCUAUUUUUCAAUUCUAUAUGUAUAUAUAUACUCU
Etheostoma cragini (Arkansas darter) is the source of this 77-nucleotide long non-coding RNA. RefSeq lists it as uncharacterized. The record is from RefSeq and is a predicted model, not a curated record. The transcript has 3 exons. Lineage: Eukaryota; Metazoa; Chordata; Actinopteri; Perciformes; Percidae.